Molecule: long non-coding RNA, 1575 nt
Organism: Mustela putorius furo (domestic ferret)
Lineage: Eukaryota; Metazoa; Chordata; Mammalia; Carnivora; Mustelidae
Source: Ensembl
CUAAGAUUCUCCGUUAAGCAGGAUAACUGGCCUUCUCCUGAUGGAGAACAAGCCAUCAUGCUAUGUAGCCUUUGACAGGAGAGCACAGCAGCCAUGACAGGGGAGUCCUAGGAUGGCAGAGACUUGGGCCAUAUCUGAAUCAGCUAAUCUGGACAGAGGGAAACAUGAAUGGCCAUGCUCACUGUGCACAUGAGCACCACAGCUCCUGUAAGGGCCACUUCCUGGAUCAAAGCAAAGUGUCAUCAAAGAAGGAAAAUAUACUGUGGGGUGAAGGAAGGAAGAGGUCCAGCCUCCCAUGGCACUUCCUGCUCCAGCCCAAAGGAAAAGAGAGACCCAACCUCCGCUUCACUACAGCAGGGCCACCGCAGCCCAUUCCUGGGAGUGCUCUCGACAUGAAAUACCGCUUCAUCACCAGUGUUACCAGAACAGUCUCCAUGCCAACUCCUGCUCUCACGUCCCUGGGAGUGCCGCUGGAACACUGCAGAAGGCAGGUGUGCUCUGUCCCUAUUGGCCUCAGCCUCCAUCUCUUUUCCAAGACAGGCAAGUGCUCAGUUGGUCUCCUUUGUCCUGUCAGCAUCUUCUUUCCAGCAGGCUUGCACAGCAGGAGCAACCCAGGGAAGAUAGCCUCUCUGGUUCUCGGCUCUUCCCUUCCCUUGUCUUCAGUGCCUGCUCCCUCUGCCUUCUCAGAAGGUAUGUGUGCACCAGGCAUACCUGAGUCGUGGCCAGGCAAAAGGUUCCCUGUGUCUUCCACCUGUGCCCUCUCUGGAGCCAAGAAGAGGCUUCCUGUGGUGUUGCAGACCGGCCUCCUGUGUCCUCACGCUCCCACUCCUAUUUUGGCUUUUGGGCUUGGGUUAUUGGCUGUAUCUAGCACAUCCGUCACUCUGAAGGCAUCCUCUCUACCUGACUCCCUUCCAGAGAUGGGUGCCCUGUCCUCCGCCCUCCACGGUGGUAGCUAGUCCCUGUCCUGAGAGUAGAGCCUUGUCUCCCUACAGGCACCUUUGCCAACUGUCCCUGGAUGUCCCUGUCUGCCCGACAUCCAGGUCCUGACCACAGCUUGAGGUCUCUAUCCCUCCGUUCUUCUGUUUGACGGGACUCUUUUUCUUUAUUCUGGAAUCCCUAGGGCUAAGUAUUUGUCAGAACUACGGGGAAGGUGAUCUUCCCUGGCCAGGUGUAUCUCUGGAACCAGAGGUGUCUUGGAAGCUGGAUGAGUUCCCCUGACUCAGCCCGGGGGGUGGGCCAUCUUGCUCCCUUCCUGUCUGCCCUGUGAUGUGGGGAGUAAUGGGCUGGAACCAUGACAACCACUGGCUUCCAGUGUGGACAUUACAUGUUAGGACACAUCAGUGCAGCCUAAGCCCCAGCUACCUGGUCAUUUGAGAGGUCGUGCUCCUAGCUCUAUGUGCCGCUUCCAAAUUGCUGUACCAAUACACUGGAAUGUUCCCGGGUCAGUCAACAAGGAGCUGAAGAUGUGACCGCCUGGCUAGAGCAUGGGCCAUUUACCACGCCGGUCUAAAUGUGCUUCUUCUCGCUGCAUUAGCACUCAGAUUUGGUAUUCGGGGUGCCCUGAUGCCACUGAAC